This 406-nucleotide ribosomal RNA is filed under the name uncultured bacterium. RNAcentral's name for it is "partial 16S ribosomal RNA". It matches the Rfam family "Bacterial small subunit ribosomal RNA", at positions 29 to 526 of the family's 1533-position model. The record is from RNAcentral.
AUUGAACGCUGGCGGCAGGCCUAACACAUGCAAGUCGAACGAGUGGCGGACGGGUGAGUAAUGUCUGGGAAACUGCCCGAUGGAGGGGGAUAACUACUGGAAACGGUAGCUAAUACCGCAUACUCUCGGAUGUGCCCAGAUGGGAUGAGCUAGUAGGUGGGGUAACGGCUCACCUAAGCGACGAUCCCUAGCUGGUCUGAGAGGAUGACCAGCCACACUGGAACCGGGACACGGUCAAGACUCCGAAGGGAGGCAGCAGUGGGGAAUAAUGCACAAUGGGGGCAACCCUGACGCAUACAUGCCGAGGGUAUGGAGAGGGCCUUCGGGUUGUAAAGCACUUUCAGCGAGGAGGGGUUACUCGCAGAAGAAGCACCGGCUAAGUCCGUGCCAGCGGCCGCGGUAAUUC